Molecule: ribosomal RNA, 180 nt
Filed under: uncultured Glomeromycotina
Lineage: Eukaryota; Fungi; Glomeromycota
Description: partial small subunit ribosomal RNA
Rfam family: Eukaryotic small subunit ribosomal RNA (bases 91-180)
Source: RNAcentral
GGCCUAGCUGGCCGGUCCGCCUCACCGCGAGUACUGGACUGGCUGGGCCUUCCCUCCUGGGGAACCCCAUGGCCUUCACUGGCUGUGGCGGGGAACCAGGACUUUUACUGUGAAAAAAUUAGAGUGUUCAAAGCAGGCCUUUGCUCGAAUACAUUAGCAUGGAAUAAUAGAAUAGGACGU